GCGGUGCGCGUCUGGAGGACCCGGUGUAUCUUGAAUGUCAAAACGACUCUCGGCAACGGAUAUCUCGGCUCUCGCAUCGAUGAAGAACGUAGCGAAAUGCGAUACUUGGUGUGAAUUGCAGAAUCCCGUGAACCAUCGAGUCUUUGAACGCAAGUUGCGCCCGAAGCCAUUAGGCCGAGGGCACGUCUGCCUGGGCGUCACGC
This 203-nucleotide ribosomal RNA is filed under the name Keckiella lemmonii. Its description in RNAcentral is "5.8S ribosomal RNA". The stretch from base 45 to 200 matches the Rfam family "5.8S ribosomal RNA". From Rfam's summary of the family: 5.8S ribosomal RNA (5.8S rRNA) is a component of the large subunit of the eukaryotic ribosome. It is transcribed by RNA polymerase I as part of the 45S precursor that also contains 18S and 28S rRNA. Functionally, it is thought that 5.8S rRNA may be involved in ribosome translocation. Lineage: Eukaryota; Viridiplantae; Streptophyta; Magnoliopsida; Lamiales; Plantaginaceae. The record is from RNAcentral.